RNAcentral lists this transfer RNA (72 nucleotides) under Pangasianodon hypophthalmus (striped catfish). RNAcentral's name for it is "tRNA-Glu". The record is from RNAcentral. Lineage: Eukaryota; Metazoa; Chordata; Actinopteri; Siluriformes; Pangasiidae.
UCCCUGGAGGACUAGUGGUUAUGCCUCAGAGCUCUCACCACCAUGGCCCUGGUUCGAGUCCCAGCCAGGGAA